RNAcentral lists this ribosomal RNA (253 nucleotides) under uncultured bacterium. RNAcentral describes it as "partial 16S ribosomal RNA". It matches the Rfam family "Bacterial small subunit ribosomal RNA", at positions 524 to 776 of the family's 1533-position model. The record is from RNAcentral.
UACGGAGGGUGCGAGCGUUGUUCGGAAUCACUGGGCGUAAAGCGCGUGUAGGCGGUCUGCUAAGUCUGAUGUGAAAGCCCGGGGCUCACCCCCGGAAGUGCAUUGGAAACUGACAGACUGGAGUCUCGGAGAGGAGGGUGGAAUUCCUGGUGUAGCGGUGAAAUGCGUAGAUAUCAGGAGGAACACCGGUGGCGAAGGCGGCCCUCUGGACGGUGACUGACGCUGAGACGCGAAAGCGUGGGGAGCAAACAGG